Long non-coding RNA from Cavia porcellus (domestic guinea pig), 1339 nucleotides. RefSeq lists it as uncharacterized. The transcript has 2 exons. NCBI's taxonomy places the organism in Eukaryota, Metazoa, Chordata, Mammalia, Rodentia, Caviidae. The record is from RefSeq and is a predicted model, not a curated record.
GGCUUGAUUGGGUUAACAUCAACUUGCCUUCGUCUCUUUUUGUCUCCCCUAUGUCUUUUAUUUAAUCCCCGUUUCUCCUCCAGGAGUUCCGAACUUGUUGAUCUGCAGGCCGGAUCAAGUGGCGCUCAGCGUGGGAGCCCCUGGCACGGAGAAGUUAACGAGGGAGCCGUUCGAGAGACAGCCGGCUUAAACCGAAAGUGAAAGCAAAUUGAACCAGAGACCUCGGCAGAGGAAUGAGUAAACUGAAUCAAGGAUUAAAGUUUAAAGCAACAGGACAUUAAAUCAAGUGCCGAGACCUGCGCAGACGACUACCCGACGUCCUGCCCGAGUCACGGAAUAAUGUUAUUUCCUGAGGCACAAUCCCCUGUGUUCUCUUACAGGUGACACAUCUCCUUGGAGCCUUAUGCUGCUUAACCAGCCUUCUUGAGCCACACCACACCCAUGGUGGAUUUUGACCCCUGCCAAACAGACUGCAACUGCUGACAGCCAUGCACAGAACCCCAUGACUGCGGAAGAGGCUCUUCUCGGUCUGGAGGAACGCCAGCCAAAUAGACUGCAUCCAGUGUUAUACAAGGCAUGCUCCAAGACACAGGAGAAUGACUUCAUACAGAGACACCAACAAAUGACUGUCAACCCCUUCUCCUUGAUUUUGGGGGGGGGAGUUUUUCCCUUACCUAGUCCCACUUUUGGGUCCCCUAGCUGACCUAUUGUUUCUCAUUUCUGUGAGUCUUGUAUUUUUCAGAGGAUUAUGAUGUUCAUUAAUAACCGGAUAGACGCAUUUAUGGCAAAGCCCAUUCAGGUACACUACCAUCAGCUGGAGAUGACAGAUCAACAAACCUACAGGGAAGGAAUUCCCACGAGUGGCCCAUAUGAUGAUGCGGCCUGACUGCCCUGGGGCAAUGGACAGGCAGUCAGAGACGGGCAACUAGGACAUGCAUGUUAAUUCCAACAGCCACCUAAGACAGGCACAGGACCAACUGCUGUUCUGCAAGCCCAUGACGGGUAAGGCCUGGUUGGGUUCAUGCAAUGAGGUCCUUGACCUAAGACAGAUGCUGUCCUCACAGGGCCUGCCAUACUCUUAAUUAAAUAAUAUAAAAAGGGAGGAGAUGUAGGGAGCCGAGUGACAGGCAUUGCUGCCUAGAUGUCUCUCUCUCUCUCUCCUAUGGGCACUACGUCUGCCUACAUUAACCAUAAUCCUCUUCUGCUUACGUCACUUAUCCGGAUGUGAUGGUAACCCUGUUGUAUUCAUCUGUUUAACCUCUUCCUGUCCCAGCUCCCGCCCUUAGCCUAUAAAAGGUGUGAUUAUUUUCUCAAUAAACCGGAGGCUUGAUUGGGUUAA